CCUACGGGAGGCAGCAGUGAGGAAUAUUGGUCAAUGGGCGUAAGCCUGAACCAGCCAAGUCGCGUGAGGGAUGAAGGUUCUAUGGAUUGUAAACCUCUUUUAUAAGGGAAUAAAGUGUGGGACGCGUCCUAUUUCGUAUGUACCUUAUGAAAAAGGAUCGGCUAACUCCGUGCCAGCAGCCGCGGUAAUACGGAGGAUCCGAGCGUUAUCCGGAUUUAUUGGGUUUAAAGGGUGCGUAGGCGGACGUUGAAGUCAGCGGUUAAAAUCGGGGGCUCAACCUUUGAACUGCCGUUGACACUGGGGGGCUUGAGUAGGUGUGAGGCAGGCGGAAUGCGUGGUGUAGCGGUGAAAUGCAUAGAUAUCACGCAGAACCCCGAUUGCGAAGGCAGCGUGCCAGGCCAUGACUGACGCUGAUGCACGAAAGCGUGGGGAUCGAACAGGAUUAGAUACCCGAGUAGUC
RNAcentral lists this ribosomal RNA (460 nucleotides) under uncultured bacterium. Its description in RNAcentral is "partial 16S ribosomal RNA". It matches the Rfam family "Bacterial small subunit ribosomal RNA", at positions 338 to 795 of the family's 1533-position model. The record is from RNAcentral.